RNAcentral lists this ribosomal RNA (510 nucleotides) under uncultured bacterium. RNAcentral describes it as "bacterial SSU rRNA". It matches the Rfam family "Bacterial small subunit ribosomal RNA", at positions 19 to 518 of the family's 1533-position model. The record is from RNAcentral.
AUGGCUCAGGAUGAACGCUAGCGACAGGCUAACACAUGCAAGUCGAGGGCGAGCACGGGAGUAGCAAUACAACGUGGUGGCGACCGGCGCGACGGGUGAGUAACGCGUAUGCAACCUACCUAUCGAGAGGGGAAUAACCCGGCGAAAGUCGGACUAAUACCGCAUAAAACAGGGGCACCGCAUGGUGAUAUUUGUUAAAGAGAUUCGCUGAUAGAUGGGCAUGCGUUCCAUUAGGUAGUUGGUGAGGUAACGGCUCACCAAGCCGACGAUGGAUAGGGGAACUGAGAGGUUGGUCCCCCACACUGGUACUGAGACACGGACCAGACUCCUACGGGAGGCAGCAGUGAGGAAUAUUGGUCAAUGGGCGGGAGCCUGAACCAGCCAAGUCGCGUGAAGGAAGAAGGAUCUAUGGUUCGUAAACUUCUUUUGCAGGGGAAUAAAGUGCAGGACGUGUCCUGUUUUGUAUGUACCCUGAGAAUAAGGAUCGGCUAACUCCGUGCCAGCCGCUGC